This 811-nucleotide ribosomal RNA is filed under the name uncultured bacterium. RNAcentral describes it as "bacterial SSU rRNA". It matches the Rfam family "Bacterial small subunit ribosomal RNA", at positions 28 to 776 of the family's 1533-position model. The record is from RNAcentral.
AUUGAACGCUGGCGGCAGGCUUAACACGUGCAAGUCGAACGAUGAAACCUAGCUUGCUAGGUGGAUUAGUGGCGGACGGGUGAGUACAACUUAGGAAUCUACCUAUUAGCGGGGGAUAGCUCGGGGAAACUCGAGUUAAUACCGCAUACACCUUACGAGGGAAAGGGGCCUGAUCACUAAAUUUAAUUUAUAGUGUAUUUUAUUUACAAUAAUAUAAUUAAGUUAAAUUUAGUGGUCAGGUCUCACUAAUAGAUGAGCCUAAGCAAGAUUAGCUAGUUGGUGGGGUAAAAGCCUACCAAGGCGACGAUCUUUAGCUGGUCUGAGAGGAUGAUCAACCACACUGGGACUGAGACACGGCCCAGACUCCUACGGGAGGCAGCAGUGGGGAAUAUUGGACAAUGGGGGCAACCCUGAUCCAGCCAUGCCGCGUGUGUGAAGAAGGCCUUUUGGUUGUAAAGCACUUUAAGCAGUGAGGAAAAGCUAUAUGCUAAUACCAUAUAGCCCUGACGUUAACUGCAGAAUAAGCACCGGCUAACUCUGUGCCAGCAGCCGCGGUAAUACAGAGGGUGCAAGCGUUAAUCGGAAUUACUGGGCGUAAAGCGAACGUAGGUGGUCAAUUAAGUCAGAUGUGAAAUCCCUGAGCUCAACUUAGGAACUGCAUCUGAUACUGAUAGACUAGAGUAGGCGAGAGGAGAGUAGAAUUCCAGGUGUAGCGGUGAAAUGCGUAGAUAUCUGGAGGAAUACCGAUGGCGAAGGCAGCUCUCUGGCAUCAUACUGACACUGAGGUUCGAAAGCGUGGGUAGCAAACGGG